UACAGAGGUCUCAAGCGUUGUUCGGAUUCAUUGGGCGUAAAGGGUGUGUAGGUGGCGCGCUAAGUCGGGUGUGAAAUUUCGGAGCUUAACUCCGAAACUGCAUUCGAUACUGGCGUGCUUGAGGACUGGAGAGGAGACUGGAAUUCAUGGUGUAGCAGUGAAAUGCGUAGAGAUCAUGAGGAAGACCAGUGGCGAAGGCUAGUCUCUGGACAGUUACUGACACUGAGGCACGAAGGCCAGGGGAGCAAACGGG
RNAcentral lists this ribosomal RNA (253 nucleotides) under uncultured bacterium. RNAcentral describes it as "partial 16S ribosomal RNA". It matches the Rfam family "Bacterial small subunit ribosomal RNA", at positions 524 to 776 of the family's 1533-position model. The record is from RNAcentral.